CACGUAGGGCGCGAGCGUUGUCCGGAAUUAUUGGGCGUAAAGAGCUCGUAGGCGGCCUGUUGCGUCCGCUGUGAAAGCCCGGGGCUUAACCCCGGGUCGGCAGUGGAUACGGGCAGGCUAGAGGUAGGUAGGGGAGAAUGGAAUUCCCGGUGUAGCGGUGAAAUGCGCAGAUAUCGGGAGGAACACCGGUGGCGAAGGCGGGUCUCUGGGCCGAUACUGACGCUGAGACGCGAAAGCGCGGGGAGCGAACGGG
RNAcentral lists this ribosomal RNA (253 nucleotides) under uncultured bacterium. RNAcentral describes it as "partial 16S ribosomal RNA". It matches the Rfam family "Bacterial small subunit ribosomal RNA", at positions 524 to 776 of the family's 1533-position model. The record is from RNAcentral.